CCUACGGGUGGCAGCAGUGAGGAAUAUUGGUCAAUGGACGAGAGUCUGAACCAGCCAAGUAGCGUGAAGGAUGACUGCCCUAUGGGUUGUAAACUUCUUUUAUAUGGGAAUAAAAUGUUCCACGUGUGGGAUUUUGUAUGUACCAUAUGAAUAAGGAUCGGCUAACUCCGUGCCAGCAGCCGCGGUAAUACGGAGGAUCCGAGCGUUAUCCGGAUUUAUUGGGUUUAAAGGGAGCGUAGGUGGAUUGUUAAGUCAGUUGUGAAAGUUUGCGGCUCAACCGUAAAAUUGCAGUUGAAACUGGCAGUCUUGAGUACAGUAGAGGUGGGCGGAAUUCGUGGUGUAGCGGUGAAAUGCUUAGAUAUCACGAAGAACUCCGAUUGCGAAGGCAGUUCACUGGACUGCAACCGACACUGAGGCUCGAAAGUGUGGGUAUCAAACAGGAUUAGAUACCCUUGUAGUC
RNAcentral lists this ribosomal RNA (460 nucleotides) under uncultured bacterium. Its description in RNAcentral is "partial 16S ribosomal RNA". It matches the Rfam family "Bacterial small subunit ribosomal RNA", at positions 338 to 795 of the family's 1533-position model. The record is from RNAcentral.